AUGCCUCUCGAUGAGGUAUUCCUGCUGCUGGUUUCCUCUUUCAAAUUCUCUUUCAGUCUUUUAAUUCCUUUGCUGUUUCUUUGGCAGAUGAACACUCCUAUAUCUGCAUUCAAAGGAAAAGGACAGGCUAUUGUGCCUAAAACUCCUAGCAAAUCACCGUGCCCAAAAAGUACUCGCCGCAAACUCUGUCUUGGACCCUCUAAAUCUAAGGACACUGAACUUUCUACCUCUACUACCAAGGUGGCUAGCCAAACUGAAGAGGUUGCCGCUGCCGGAAAUGUUGUUCAGCCUGCACCCAUGCCAGAUGUUGGACAGGAAACUAAAGGUGCAGUUGCUGAGGAUCCAAAGAACACCCUUCCUGACCCCUCUAAGCCCAAGAGAACAACCAAUACCGGCAAGGGGGCUGACAUACCUAAGAAAGCGAAGCAGUAG
This 432-nucleotide ribosomal RNA is filed under the name Triticum aestivum (bread wheat). RNAcentral's name for it is "partial small subunit ribosomal RNA". Lineage: Eukaryota; Viridiplantae; Streptophyta; Magnoliopsida; Poales; Poaceae. The record is from RNAcentral.